AUUGAACGCUGGCGGCAGGCCUAACACAUGCAAGUCGAGCGGAUGAAGGGAGCUUGCUCCUGGAUUCAGCGGCGGACGGGUGAGUAAUGCCUAGGAAUCUGCCUGGUAGUGGGGGAUAACGUCCGGAAACGGGCGCUAAUACCGCAUACGUCCUGAGGGAGAAAGUGGGGGAUCUUCGGACCUCACGCUAUCAGAUGAGCCUAGGUCGGAUUAGCUAGUUGGUGGGGUAAAGGCCUACCAAGGCGACGAUCCGUAACUGGUCUGAGAGGAUGAUCAGUCACACUGGAACUGAGACACGGUCCAGACUCCUACGGGAGGCAGCAGUGGGGAAUAUUGGACAAUGGGCGAAAGCCUGAUCCAGCCAUGCCGCGUGUGUGAAGAAGGUCUUCGGAUUGUAAAGCACUUUAAGUUGGGAGGAAGGGCAGUAAGUUAAUACCUUGCUGUUUUGACGUUACCAACAGAAUAUGCACCGGCUAACUUCGU
Molecule: ribosomal RNA, 483 nt
Filed under: uncultured bacterium
Lineage: Bacteria
Description: partial 16S ribosomal RNA
Rfam family: Bacterial small subunit ribosomal RNA
Source: RNAcentral